Long non-coding RNA from Cottoperca gobio, 584 nucleotides. RefSeq lists it as uncharacterized. The transcript is spliced from 4 exons. Lineage: Eukaryota; Metazoa; Chordata; Actinopteri; Perciformes; Bovichtidae. The record is from RefSeq and is a predicted model, not a curated record.
UGUGGCUGAUGCUUGCAUUAACUAAACUAUCACAGGGUUCCUACAGUUUAAGGGAAAUUAGAUUUAAGACCCAUCUUCAAACUCAACCUUCAUUUCUCAAAUACAAUCCAGGUACACUCGUGAAUACUGGUGACAUAUGAUACUGGUAGUAUUAUUAACAAGCCAGAUGACACAGAGACUGUGUGGAGCAGGUGAAAGUGAAAGUAACUUUGUUAAGGCGUAUAUAUAUCUCAGAUAAGUCCCUGGACUCACAUUCUCCCUUCGACUUUCUUCCACUUCAACAACAGCCAUGGGAGUAAACAGCAGUUUGUUUGACUCUCCACCAUCUGGACCCACUCCAUUGUCUCGACUCGCUCUAUUUUUCAGAGAUCCAUGGAGGGAAAUGAACUGGAGAGACAAAGCGGGGGCUCUGCAGUAUGUGAAGGACUACAGACCUCAGACUGAAGGCCAGCAGCUCAGGAUUCUUCUUUAUGGACCGGUUGGAUCUGGAAAGUCCAGUUUCAUUAACUCUGUGGACAGUGUCUUACAAGGCAGAGUGUGCACAAGAGCUUUGGCUGAUAGCGCCUCUACUCGCAGUUUCACCA